RNAcentral lists this transfer RNA (81 nucleotides) under Helianthus annuus (common sunflower). RNAcentral describes it as "tRNA-Met". It matches the Rfam family "tRNA". From Rfam's summary of the family: Transfer RNA (tRNA) molecules are approximately 80 nucleotides in length. Their secondary structure includes four short double-helical elements and three loops (D, anti-codon, and T loops). Lineage: Eukaryota; Viridiplantae; Streptophyta; Magnoliopsida; Asterales; Asteraceae. The record is from RNAcentral.
GCUAAACAUCCAUGGCUGAGUGGUUAAAGCACCAACUCAUAAUUGGUGAAUUCGUAGGUUUAAUUCCUACUGGAUGCACGC